CUUCGUAUUUUGAAUAUAAUAUUUUUGGAUAGUAUGGUUGUGCUGUAUGUCGAAUUUGGGGGACGUGACAGCGGGGUAAACGAAGCUAAGUAGGAGUCAGCAUUUUCUUCCUCUUCUUCUCUAAGCUGCGUCACUGAUCUUUAUUUGGUAAGCGUACAGAAUUCAGAUCAGUUUUUGUGUAUAUGGGUUCUUUUUCAGCUCAAACCAUCUUUGCUUCUUAGUCUUUUAGAAGCUCUCAGAAAUUCUUUCUCCCCCUUCUCUUUGAGCGUAGAAGCUUCCUUCGGCGUCACCUCCCUCUCAUUUUCUUCUUCUUCUCUCUCUUUCUCCCUCUCUCUUUCUUCCUCUCUCCGGCCACUGGGCUGAUGCUGUUCCUCUCUCUCCUCUUUCUCGCUCUCUAUCUCUCUCCGUUCCUCUGUUCCUCUCUCCCCUCUCUUUCUCCCUCUCUUCCCCCCAUCUUUUUCUUCUCGUGCUCUUCCCGUGAGAUGGCGAGGUCUUCCUUCUCCGAUCUUCCUUCUCCAGUUGUUCUCCGGUCUCCGGCUCCGAUUUGGGAGAAGGUUGUCGUCGUGACCCCGUUCUACCUCGGCGGC
RNAcentral lists this long non-coding RNA (587 nucleotides) under Elaeis guineensis (African oil palm). RNAcentral's name for it is "long non-coding RNA (EGUI_LNC082232)". The record is from RNAcentral. Lineage: Eukaryota; Viridiplantae; Streptophyta; Magnoliopsida; Arecales; Arecaceae.